GGUACCCCAGACUUCCAUGGCUUGACGGGCGGUGUGUACAAGGCCCGGGAACGUAUUCACCGCGCCAUGGCUGAUGCGCGAUUACUAGCGAUUCCAGCUUCAUAGAGUCGAGUUGCAGACUCCAAUCCGAACUGAGACCGGCUUUCGAGAUUCGCAUCCUGUCACCAGGUAGCUGCCCUCUGUACCGGCCAUUGUAUUACGUGUGUGGCCCAAGACGUAAGGGCCGUGAUGAUUUGACGUCAUCCCCACCUUCCUCUCUACUUGCGUAGGCAGUCCCAACAGAGUCCCCAACUGAAUGAUGGCAACUGUUGGCAGGGGUUGCGCUCGUUGCAGGACUUAACCUAACACCUCACGGCACGAGCUGACGACAACCAUGCAGCACCUUGAAAAUUGCCCGAAGGAGGAUCUAUUUCUAAAUCUGUCAAUUCCCAUUUAAGUCUUGGUAAGGUUCCUCGCGUAUCAUCGAAUUAAACCACAUAAUCCACCGCUUGUGCGGGCCCCCGUCAAUUCCUUUGAGUUUCAUCCUUGCGGACGUACUCCCCAGGUGGCUAACUUAUCACUUUCGCUUGGUCUCUGAACCCGAAGAUCCAAAAACGAGUUAGCAUCGUUUACGGCGUGGACUACCAGGGUAUCUAAUCCUGUUCGCUCCCCACGCUUUCGUCCAUCAGCGUCAGUUAAAUCUUAGUGACCUGCCUUCGCAAUCGGUGUUCUAAGUAAUAUCUAUGCAUUUCACCGCUACACUACUUAUUCCAGCCACUUCAAAUUUACUCAAGGCCUGCAGUAUCAAUGGCAGUUUCAUAGUUAAGCUAUGAGAUUUCACCACUGACUUACAGGCCCGCCUACGGACCCUUUAAACCCAAUAAAUCCGGAUAACGCUCGCACCCUCCGUAUUACCGCGGCUGCUGGCACGGAGUUAGCCGGUGCUUAUUCGUACAGUACCUUCAGCUGCCCUCACGAGGGCAGGUUUAUCCCUGUACAAAAGAAGUUUACAAUCCAUAGAACCGUCAUCCUUCACGCGGGAUGGCUGGAUCAGGCUUCCACCCAUUGUCCAAUAUUCCUCACUGCUGCCUCCCGUAGGAGUCUGGUCCGUGUCUCAGUACCAGUGUGGGGGAUCUCCCUCUCAGGACCCCUAAAGAUCAUCGACUUGGUGGGCCGUUACCCCGCCAACUAUCUAAUCUUGCGCGUGCCCAUCUCUAUCCGCCGAGGCUUUCAAUGGCGACCGAUGCCGGACACCAUAUUAUGGGGUAUUAAUCUUCCUUUCGAGAGGCUAUCCCCCAGAUAAAGGCAGGUUGCACACGUGUUACGCACCCGUACGCCGCUCUCUGGAUAGCAA
Molecule: ribosomal RNA, 1333 nt
Filed under: uncultured bacterium
Lineage: Bacteria
Description: partial 16S ribosomal RNA
Source: RNAcentral